UCAAAUGACUCUCGGCAAUGGAUAUCUCGGCUCUUGCAUCGAUGAAGAACGUAGUGAAAUGUGAUACUUGGUGUGAAUUGCAGAAUCUCGUGAACCAUUGAGUCUUUGAACGCAAGUUGUGCCCGAGGCCUUGUGGUCGAGGGCAUGCCUGCUUGGGCGUCAUGG
Molecule: ribosomal RNA, 165 nt
Filed under: Monolophus sikkimensis
Lineage: Eukaryota; Viridiplantae; Streptophyta; Magnoliopsida; Zingiberales; Zingiberaceae
Description: 5.8S ribosomal RNA
Rfam family: 5.8S ribosomal RNA
About the family: 5.8S ribosomal RNA (5.8S rRNA) is a component of the large subunit of the eukaryotic ribosome. It is transcribed by RNA polymerase I as part of the 45S precursor that also contains 18S and 28S rRNA. Functionally, it is thought that 5.8S rRNA may be involved in ribosome translocation.
Source: RNAcentral